This 99-nucleotide microRNA precursor is filed under the name Mandrillus leucophaeus (drill). RNAcentral describes it as "miRNA (ENSMLEG00000007048.1)". The record is from RNAcentral. Lineage: Eukaryota; Metazoa; Chordata; Mammalia; Primates; Cercopithecidae.
UGAGGCAGGAGAAUUGCUUGAACCCAGGAGGUGGAGGUUGCAGUGAGCUGAGAUCGUGCCACUGUACCCCAGCCUGGGUGACAGAGUGAGACUCCAUCU